GGGUAACGGCCCACCAAAGCGACGAUCGGUAGCCGGACUGAGAGGUUGAACGGCCACAUUGGGACUGAGACACGGCCCAGACUCCUACGGGAGGCAGCAGUGGGGGAUAUUGCACAAUGGGGGAAACCCUGAUGCAGCAACGCCGCGUGAAGGAAGAAGGUCUUCGGAUUGUAAACUUUUGUCCUCAGUGAAGAUAAUGACGGUAGCUGAGGAGGAAGCUCCGGCUAACUAC
RNAcentral lists this ribosomal RNA (232 nucleotides) under uncultured bacterium. RNAcentral describes it as "partial 16S ribosomal RNA". It matches the Rfam family "Bacterial small subunit ribosomal RNA", at positions 255 to 504 of the family's 1533-position model. The record is from RNAcentral.